RNAcentral lists this ribosomal RNA (905 nucleotides) under uncultured bacterium. Its description in RNAcentral is "bacterial SSU rRNA". It matches the Rfam family "Bacterial small subunit ribosomal RNA", at positions 8 to 916 of the family's 1533-position model. The record is from RNAcentral.
AGAGUUUGAUCAUGGCUCAGGACGAACGCUGGCGGCGUGCCUAAUGCAUGCAAGUCGAGCGGGCUACGAUCUUCGGAUUGUAGCUUAGCGGCGAACGGGUGAGUAACACGUAGGUGAUCUACCCUUCAGAGGAGGACAACCUCAGGAAACUGAGGCUAAACCUUCAUACGUUCACUGGUAGGGAUACUGGUGAAGAAAGAGUUACCCCUAGAGGGUAGCUGCUGAAGGAUGAGCCUGCGGCCCAUCAGGUAGUUGGUGAGGUAACGGCUCACCAAGCCGAAGACGGGUAACCGGUCUGAGAGGAUGUCCGGUCACACUGGGACUGAGACACGGCCCAGACUCCUACGGGAGGCAGCAGCAGGGAAUCUUGGGCAAUGGGCGAAAGCCUGACCCAGCGACGCCGCGUGGAGGAAGAAGUCCUUCGGGGCGUAAACUCCUGGACUGGGGGACGAGGAAGGACGGUACCCCAGUAGAAAGGGACGGCUAACUACGUGCCAGCAGCCGCGGUAAAACGUAGGUCCCGAGCGUUGUUCGGAUUCACUGGGUGUAAAGGGCGCGUAGGUGGUUGUCUGUGUCACAUGUGAAAACUCAGGGCUCAACUCUGAGAUUGCGUGGGAAACUAGGCAGCUAGAGGACGGUAGAGGGGAGUGGAAUUCCCGGUGUAGCGGUAAAAUGCGUAGAUAUCGGGAGGAACACCGGUGGCGAAGGCGGCUCUCUGGGCCGAUCCUGACGCUGAGGCGCGAAAGCUAGGGGAGCGAACCGGAUUAGAUACCCGGGUAGUCCUAGCCGUAAACGAUGGGUGCUAGGUGUUGGGGGGGUAAAGACCCUUCAGUGCCGAAGCCAACGCGAUAAGCAUCCCACCUGGGGAGUACGGCCGCAAGGUUGAAACUCAAAUGAAUUGACGG